GUGAAACUGCGAAUGGCUCAUUAAAUCAGUUAUAGUUUAUUUGAUAAUACCUUACUACUUGGAUAUCCGUGGUAAUUCUAGAGCUAAUACAUGCAAUAAAAGGCCGACUUCUGGAAGGCCUGUAUUUAUUAGAUACAAAAACCAUUUGGUGAUUCAUAGUAACUUUUCGAAUCGCAUGACUUUACGUCGGCGAUGGUUCAUUCAAAUUUCUGCCCUAUCACCUUUUGAUGGUAGUAUAGAGGACUACCAUGGGUUUAACGGGUAACGGCGAAUUAGGGUUCGAUUCCGGAGAGGGAGCCUGAGAAACGGCUACCACAUCUAAGGAAGGCAGCAGGCGCGCAAAUUACCCAAUCCUGAUUCAGGGAGGUAGUGACAAUAAAUAACAAUCCAGGGCUUCUGUCUUGGAAUUGGAAUGAGAACAAUUUAAAUCCCUUAACGAGGAACAAUUGGAGGGCAAGUCUGGUGCCAGCAGCCGCGGUAAUUCCAGCUCCAAUAGCGUAUAUUAAAGUUGUUGCAGUUAAAUAGCUCGUAGUUGAAUUUUCUUUUACUUUGAAAAAAUUAGAGUGUUCAAAGCAGGCAUUAUUGCUCGAAUACAUUAGCAUGGAAUAAUAGAAUAGGACUUUGGUUCUAUUUUGUUGGUUUCUAGGACCGAAGUAAUGAUUAAUAGGGAUGGUUGGGGGCAUUAGUAUUUAAUUGUCAGAGGUGAAAUUCNUGGAUUUAUUAAAGACUCGCUGCUGCGAAAGCGUUUGCCAAGGACGUUUUCAUUAAUCAAGAACGAAAGUCAGGGGAUCGAAGAUGAUCAGAUACCGUCGUAGUCCUGACUGUAAACUAUGCCGACUCGGGAUCGGGCGUGGCGAGUGAAGAGGGAAAAGCUCAAAAUUAAAAUCUGGCAAGACUUGAUCUUGUCCGAAUUGUAGUUUAAAGAAACGUUUUCGGGGGUGGCUGGGGUCCAAGUCCAUUGGAAUGUGGCGCCAUGGAGGGUGAUAGCCCCGUACGGCCCCUUACUUCACUCCUAUACGAUACGUUUUCUAAGAGUCGUACAGCUUGGGAAUGCUGUNCUAAGAGGGAGGUAAAUACCUUCUAAAGCUAAAUACUGGCGAGAGACCGAUAGCGAACAAGUACCGUGAGGGAAAGUUGCAAAGAACUUUGAAAAGAGAGUUAAACAGUACGUGAAAUUGUCCAAAGGGAAACGCUUCGACACCCUCGCGCGGGGCGCGGCCAUCAGCCUUCUUUUUGGAGGUGCACUCCGGCAGAAGAUCGGUUAGAUUUUAUACCGCCUCGUGAUUGCCCUGGGUUUGACCGAGGACUGCUGCGCAUAGGAUCUUCUGAGAACGGUUCGAAGCGCCCCGUCUUGAAACACGGACCAAGGAGUCCAACNCACAGGCGAGUCUUUGGGUGGCAAACCCGAAGGCGAAAUGAAAGUAAUUUCUCUUCAGGUNCCAACCCCCUUUACCGGGAUGCAGCAUCGGCCGGAUCUUGAGGUUUANCAAAGGAUCUGAGCAGGAGCCUGUUUGUUGGGACCCGAAAGAUGGUGAACUAUACCUGAGUAGGUGUGAAGUCAGAUGGAAACUCUGAUGGAAGCUCGUAGCGGUUACUGUACUGUGCAAAUCGAUCGUCAAACUUGGGUAUAGGGGCGAAAGACUAAUCGAACCUNCUAGUAGC
RNAcentral lists this ribosomal RNA (1662 nucleotides) under Entophlyctis luteolus. RNAcentral's name for it is "bacterial SSU rRNA". The stretch from base 1 to 961 matches the Rfam family "Eukaryotic small subunit ribosomal RNA". The record is from RNAcentral. Lineage: Eukaryota; Fungi; Chytridiomycota; Chytridiomycetes; Chytridiales; Chytriomycetaceae.